This is a long non-coding RNA of Rattus norvegicus (Norway rat), 1202 nucleotides long. RefSeq lists it as uncharacterized. The record is from RefSeq and is a predicted model, not a curated record. Lineage: Eukaryota; Metazoa; Chordata; Mammalia; Rodentia; Muridae.
GCUGCAGGGAGAUCUGGGAAACAUGAGGAUGGAAAAAAUGAACCAAUGAGCAGACAGGCUCUCCAAAGCAAGAGUGGACGGUUAUCACAACUCUGCAGAGACAGCCACCCAUGCAGCCCCAGGCCCCACACUGCGCUCUCUCAGCCAUUACAGAUCACUCGGCUAGUGGCCAGGCGCUGAAGAGCUGAAUCCCAGGAUGGUAAGGCCACCUCAGGACACCAACAUCACGAUAGCCACCAUACCAUCUAGGACACCAAAAUCUAGGCACAUAGCUGGACCCAGAAGCCUGGUGUCAUCGUGUGGUGGCUCUGGUUCAUGAGCUGGACAGAAUCUCUCUGUGGGAGCCAGCUUUGCUGAGCCUCAGAGGACAAGAAGAAGAGCUGGUGCCAAGGAAAGAAAGCUAGGCUGGAGUCCUGGAACCGCACCCAGGCCUCUGUUUACUCCUUGAGUGACACCAGUCCUCAGGUGUUACCUGUGGGGCAGCAAGAUGGCGUCCAGUCUGUGACCACUGGAUGGAGUUCUAGAAGUCCAUGCCUGGCUUCCAAAGCCAACCUCAGUGCUCAGCUUUCUCCAUAUCUGGGACUGGAUUGGUUUCCAUGGUUCCCUGGUGACAGUGGGGCCUCCAGGAAGCACAGAGCCCCAGAGUCACAGCAUUCCUGUGAUCCAGGGUCCAGAGACCUGCCCGUGACAGUGAAGCAUUAAAUCAUCAGCCCUAGCAACAUUAACAAGCUCCUGGCUGGACUGUGAUGUUUGGUAAAGGGAUCAUUAGCUGCUGGCAAACACCAUGUGCUAAGGAAGGGCCUCGGGCUCUGACAAAUGAUAAAUGAGAAAAUUAAAGGCUUGGAGAAAAUGUAAAUACCAUCCUUUGUAAGUCUGAGAAGAUGUUUCCUCAGAGCGCUGAGCCAUUUCUUCUAUUCUCUCCUCCAGCGGGAAGACACUGUGGCUGUCUUACAUGUGUUUGAAUAUCUUGAUUUGUCUCCUACCUCCCAGCAACGGUGGGAUAACAGGCUUUCGUGUCUGUUCGUUUCUACUAAUCCCUUGCUUCCCCGCCCUUGUUUCUGCAUCACCCUGGAAGGAAGGCGUUCAGCAUUUUCUUCUUCCUUGACCCUCGUGAAAUUUUAAACUGCAGAGGUACUGUACAAUCGUAGCACUCUGUAGUUAUCCCUGCGUGUUUUCAUAAAGCUAAAUCUUGCUCUGCCGCA